UACGGAGGUGGCGAGCGUUGUUCGGAAUCACUGGGCGUAAAGGGCGCGUAGGCGGGGUCGGAAGUCGGGUGUGAAAGCCCCGGGCUCAACCCGGGAACGGCGCCCGAGACUCUGGCUCUUGAGUCCCGGAGAGGCGGGUGGAAUUCCUGGUGUAGCGGUGAAAUGUGUAGAGAUCAGGAGGAACACCGGUGGCGUAGGCGGCCCGCUGGACGGAGACUGACGCUGAGGCGCGACAGCGUGGGGAGCAAACAGG
This 253-nucleotide ribosomal RNA is filed under the name uncultured bacterium. RNAcentral describes it as "partial 16S ribosomal RNA". It matches the Rfam family "Bacterial small subunit ribosomal RNA", at positions 524 to 776 of the family's 1533-position model. The record is from RNAcentral.